GCCACAAAAUCGCAACAAUAUUCUUUCUUCAUGUUCAUAAUUUUUUAUUACAACAAAGGUUAAUUAGAUAUCAAAUCAGGUCGCCGAAAAUAUUAGGGAAGCGAACGGCCGGCCACAAAAUAUCCAAGGAAUGAAGAUGACGUCCAACAAUCAGGAAAAGUUUCAGAGUCCUUUGAAAAAUCGAAGGGUGUUUUGUGUGCUAUUUUAAAGUCGGAAUGAAAAGUGGAGUUGAGGAAGUAAGCAAGUAAGGUGGGCUUUUUGUUUAAUAUGGAUUAUGUCCUAAAUAUGUUUUGAUGUGAAAGAUGAUGUAAUGUAUAUUUCUCGUGCCAUGUUUUUUUUAUUUCCUCUAUGGAACCCAGUAGCGGAUUCAAGGGGGGCAGGAGGGGGCGGUCGCCCCUCCCCGGCGGCCAAUAGAGCGAAUUUGUCCUUAGAUUUGGCCGGAAAAAUCCGUGGUCGCCCCCUCCGUCGAAAAAAAUUAAGAGAGAAGAAGACUCGUAAACUGAGCGAGCAGUGAAGAACGGUCCAAGGUCAGAAGGUGACUUGAGAUGAGAAGGUUAUCGGAAUAUGAAGACAAUGGAGUUCUCACCGGAAAUGGAGAUUUGAGGGUCUGCGCACAGUAGGGAAGAAGAAGACAAUAUAGUGGGUUGCAUACUUUGGGCCUGAUAAAUUAAUGGACCAAUAUAAAAAACUAGAGGGCGGCAUCAUUAUUAAGUCGGCCUAUUUUAUAAAUUUUGAUUUAAUAGAAUAGACUUAACAGA
This is a long non-coding RNA of Salvia hispanica, 758 nucleotides long. RefSeq lists it as uncharacterized. The record is from RefSeq and is a predicted model, not a curated record. NCBI's taxonomy places the organism in Eukaryota, Viridiplantae, Streptophyta, Magnoliopsida, Lamiales, Lamiaceae.